GGAGAUGUGGCUCAGUGGUAGAGCGCUUGCCUGCCCAGCAUGCGCAAGCUCCGGGUUCAACCUGGCAGCUCCC
Molecule: transfer RNA, 73 nt
Filed under: Ictidomys tridecemlineatus (thirteen-lined ground squirrel)
Lineage: Eukaryota; Metazoa; Chordata; Mammalia; Rodentia; Sciuridae
Description: Spermophilus tridecemlineatus (thirteen-lined ground squirrel) tRNA
Rfam family: tRNA
About the family: Transfer RNA (tRNA) molecules are approximately 80 nucleotides in length. Their secondary structure includes four short double-helical elements and three loops (D, anti-codon, and T loops).
Source: Rfam by way of RNAcentral